GACGGAGGAUGCAAGCGUUAUCCGGAAUGAUUGGGCGUAAAGCGUCCGCAGGUGGCAGUUCAAGUCUGCUGUCAAAGACCGGGGCUUAACUUCGGAAAGGCAGUGGAAACUGAACAGCUAGAGUAUGGUAGGGGCAGAGGGAAUUCCUGGUGUAGCGGUGAAAUGCGUAGAGAUCAGGAAGAACACCAACGGCGAAGGCAGCUCGCUAGGACGGUACUGACGCUGAGACGCGAAAGCGUGGGGAGCGAACAGG
This 253-nucleotide ribosomal RNA is filed under the name uncultured bacterium. Its description in RNAcentral is "partial 16S ribosomal RNA". It matches the Rfam family "Bacterial small subunit ribosomal RNA", at positions 524 to 776 of the family's 1533-position model. The record is from RNAcentral.